UCCUCUGCUAUCUGCACCCA
Molecule: unclassified non-coding RNA, 20 nt
Filed under: Mus musculus (house mouse)
Lineage: Eukaryota; Metazoa; Chordata; Mammalia; Rodentia; Muridae
Description: oocyte_clustered_small_RNA11787
Source: RNAcentral